GACGAACGCUGGCGGCGUGCUUAACACAUGCAAGUCGAACGGAAAGGCCCUGCUUUUGUGGGGUGCUCGAGUGGCGAACGGGUGAGUAACACGUGAGUAACCUGCCCUUGACUUUGGGAUAACUUCAGGAAACUGGGGCUAAUACCGGAUAGGAGCUCCUGCUGCAUGGAGGGGGUUGGAAAGUUUCGGCGGUUGGGGUUGGACUCGCGGCUUAUCAGCUUGUUGGUGGGGUAGUGGCUUACCAAGGCUUUGACGGGUAGCCGGCCUGAGAGGGUGACCGGCCACAUUGGUACUGCGAGACGGACCAGACUGCUACAGGAGACAACAGGGGGGAGUCUUGCACAACGAGCGCAAGCCGGAUACGGAAGCGCUGCGUGCGGGAUGACGGCCUUCGGGUUAAGAACCGCUUUCGCCUAUGACGAAGCGUGAGUGACGGUAAUGGGUAAAGAAGCACCGGCUAACUACGUG
Molecule: ribosomal RNA, 468 nt
Filed under: uncultured bacterium
Lineage: Bacteria
Description: partial 16S ribosomal RNA
Rfam family: Bacterial small subunit ribosomal RNA
Source: RNAcentral